Molecule: ribosomal RNA, 1119 nt
Filed under: bacterium Fug-3-10-14
Lineage: Bacteria
Description: bacterial SSU rRNA
Rfam family: Bacterial small subunit ribosomal RNA
Source: RNAcentral
CUUGACUGGGUUCGCGUUAGGUGCACAACACUCGAGCGGAAACGAGUUAACUGAACCUUCGGGGAACGUUAACGGCGUCGAGCGGCGGACGGGUGAGUAAUGCCUGGGAAUAUGCCUUGAUGUGGGGGAUAACCAUUGGAAACGAUGGCUAAUACCGGUAAAUAGCUUCGUCUCAGAGAGGGAGAUCUUCGGGCCUCUCGCGUCAAGAUUAGCCCAGGGGGGUAUUAGCUAGUUGGGGGAGGUAAUGGCUCACCAAGGCGACGAUCCCUAGCUGGUCUGAGAGGAUGAUCAGCCACACUGGAACUGAGACACGGUCCAGACUCCUACGGGAGGCAGCAGUGGGGAAUAUUGCACAAUGGGCGCAAGCCUGAUGCAGCCAUGCCGCGUGUGUGAAGAAGGCCUUCGGGUUGUAAAGCACUUUCAGUCGUGAGGAAGGUAGUGUAGUUAAUAACUGCAUUAUUUGACGUUAGCGACAGAAGACGCACCGGCUAACUCCGUGCCAGCAGCCGCGGUAAUACGGAGGGUGCGAGCGUUAAUCGGAAUUACUGCGCGUAAAGCGCAUGCCGGGUGGUUCGUUAAGUCAGAUGUGAAAGCCCGGGGCUCAACCUCGGAACUGCAUUUGAAACUGGCGGACUAGAGUACUGUAGAGGGGGGGAGAAUUUCAGGUGUAGCGAGAAAUGCAUAGAGAUCUGAAGGAAUACCAGUGCGAAGGCUGCCCCCUGACAGAUACUGACCACUCAGAUGCGAAAGGCUGGGGAGCAACAGGAUUAGAUACCCUGGUAGUCCACGCUGUAAACGAUGUCUACUUGGAGGUUAGUGCCUCGACCCGUUGCUUUCCGGAGCUAACGGCGUAAGUUAGACCCGCUGGAGUAGGGUCCCGAGAAUUAAAACCUCAAAUGAUGACGGGGGCCCCGCCACAGCCGUUGGCGCCAAGUGUCUUAAUUCGAUGGCACCCGAAGAACCUUACCUACUCUGGGCUCCAGAGAACCUAGCCGAAUUGCUUGGGGCCUCGGAACUCUGGAAACAUGACCGAAUGCUUCUCACGCCUGAGUGGAAUAGUGGUAAGUCCGACAGGGCCACCUAAACUUGUGGCAGCCAUAUAUGGGCAAUCCCAGGAGA